RNAcentral lists this ribosomal RNA (112 nucleotides) under Gopherus agassizii (Agassiz's desert tortoise). Lineage: Eukaryota; Metazoa; Chordata; Testudines; Testudinidae. The record is from RNAcentral.
GCCUGGAGCUGAACCGGUCUGGGCUGGGAUCAUGUCAGAUCUCAUGCUAACCAGGAUCAGGGCAGGGUAGUACUUGGAGGGGAGACCAUCAUGCACCCAAGUGCUGCAGAAG